AGAGUUUGAUCAUGGCUCAGAUUGAACGCUGGCGGCAGGCCUAACACAUGCAAGUCGAACGGUAACAGGAAACAGCUUGCUGUUUCGCUGACGAGUGGCGGACGGGUGAGUAAUGUCUGGGAAACUGCCUGAUGGAGGGGGAUAACUACUGGAAACGGUAGCUAAUACCGCAUAACGUCGCAAGACCAAAGAGGGGGACCUUAGGGCCUCUUGCCAUCGGAUGUGCCCAGAUGGGAUUAGCUAGUAGGUGGGGUAACGGCUCACCUAGGCGACGAUCCCUAGCUGGUCUGAGAGGAUGACCAGCCACACUGGAACUGAGACACGGUCCAGACUCCUACGGGAGGCAGCAGUGGGGAAUAUUGCACAAUGGGCGCAAGCCUGAUGCAGCCAUGCCGCGUGUAUGAAGAAGGCCUUCGGGUUGUAAAGUACUUUCAGCGGGGAGGAAGGGAGUAAAGUUAAUACCUUUGCUCAUUGACGUUACCCGCAGAAGAAGCACCGGCUAACUCCGUGCCAGCAGCCGCGGUAAUACGGAGGGUGCAAGCGUUAAUCGGAAUUACUGGGCGUAAAGCGCACGCAGGCGGUUUGUUAAGUCAGAUGUGAAAUCCCCGGGCUCAACCUGGGAACUGCAUCUGAUACUGGCAAGCUUGAGUCUCGUAGAGGGGGGUAGAAUUCCAGGUGUAGCGGUGAAAUGCGUAGAGAUCUGGAGGAAUACCGGUGGCGAAGGCGGCCCCCUGGACGAAGACUGACGCUCAGGUGCGAAAGCGUGGGGAGCAAACAGGAUUAGAUACCCUGGUAGUCCACGCCGUAAACGAUGUCGACUUGGAGGUUGUGCCCUUGAGGCGUGGCUUCCGGAGCUAACGCGUUAAGUCGACCGCCUGGGGAGUACGGCCGCAAGGUUAAAACUCAAAUGAAUUGACGGGGGCCCGCACAAGCGGUGGAGCAUGUGGUUUAAUUCGAUGCAACGCGAAGAACCUUACCUGGUCUUGACAUCCACGGAAGUUUUCAGAGAUGAGAAUGUGCCUUCGGGAACCGUGAGACAGGUGCUGCAUGGCUGUCGUCAGCUCGUGUUGUGAAAUGUUGGGUUAAGUCCCGCAACGAGCGCAACCCUUAUCCUUUGUUGCCAGCGGUCCGGCCGGGAACUCAAAGGAGACUGCCAGUGAUAAACUGGAGGAAGGUGGGGAUGACGUCAAGUCAUCAUGGCCCUUACGACCAGGGCUACACACGUGCUACAAUGGCGCAUACAAAGAGAAGCGACCUCGCGAGAGCAAGCGGACCUCAUAAAGUGCGUCGUAGUUCGGAUUGGAGUCUGCAACUCGACUCCAUGAAGUCGGAAUCGCUAGUAAUCGUGGAUCAGAAUGCCACGGUGAAUACGUUCCCGGGCCUUGUACACACCGCCCGUCACACCAUGGGAGUGGGUUGCAAAAGAAGUAGGUAGCUUAACCUUCGGGAGGGCGCUUACCACUUUGUGAUUCAUGACUGGGGUGAAGUCGUAACAAGGUAACCGUAGGGGAACCUGCGGUUGGAUCACCU
RNAcentral lists this ribosomal RNA (1530 nucleotides) under Escherichia coli HVH 176 (4-3428664). RNAcentral describes it as "bacterial SSU rRNA". It matches the Rfam family "Bacterial small subunit ribosomal RNA". The record is from RNAcentral. Lineage: Bacteria; Pseudomonadati; Pseudomonadota; Gammaproteobacteria; Enterobacterales; Enterobacteriaceae.